GGAGUUAGCCGGUGCUUCUUCUGUGAGUGAUGUCCUUCCUGCCGGCUAUUAACCCGCAGGCCUUCUUCCUCACUGAAAGUGCUUUACAACCCGAAGGCCUUCUUCACACACGCGGCAUGGCUGGAUCAGGGUUGCCCCCAUUGUCCAAUAUUCCCCACUGCUGCCUCCCGUAGGAGUCUGGGCCGUGUCUCAGUCCCAGUGUGGCUGAUCAUCCUCUCAGACCAGCUACGGAUCGUCGCCUUGGUGAGCCGUUACCUCACCAACCAGCUAAUCCGACAUAGGCUCAUCCGAUAGCGCGAGGCCCGAAGGUCCCCCGNUUUCCCCCGGUAGGGCGUAUGCGGUAUUAGCCUGGGUUUCCCCAGGUUAUCCCCCACUACCGGGCAGAUUCCUAUGCAUUACUCACCCGUCCGCCGCUCGCCACCAGGGAGCAAGCUCCCCGUGCUGCCGCUCGACUUGCAUGUGUUAGGCCUGCCGCCAGCGUUCAAUCUGAGCCAGGAUCAAACUCUGA
RNAcentral lists this ribosomal RNA (508 nucleotides) under uncultured bacterium. Its description in RNAcentral is "partial 16S ribosomal RNA". The record is from RNAcentral.